Molecule: ribosomal RNA, 253 nt
Filed under: uncultured bacterium
Lineage: Bacteria
Description: partial 16S ribosomal RNA
Rfam family: Bacterial small subunit ribosomal RNA
Source: RNAcentral
UACGAAGGGGGCUAGCGUUGCUCGGAAUUACUGGGCGUAAAGCGCACGUAGGCGGAUUGUUAAGUCGGGGGUGAAAUCCCAGAGCUCAACUCUGGAACUGCCUUUGAUACUGGGUAUCUCGAGUAUGGAAGAGGUGAGUGGAAUUCCGAGUGUAGAGGUGAAAUUCGUAGAUAUUCGGAGGAACACCAGUGGCGAAGGCGGCUCACUGGUCCAUUACUGACGCUGAGGUGCGAAAGCGUGGGGAGCAAACAGG